RNAcentral lists this ribosomal RNA (501 nucleotides) under uncultured bacterium. Its description in RNAcentral is "partial 16S ribosomal RNA". It matches the Rfam family "Bacterial small subunit ribosomal RNA", at positions 30 to 523 of the family's 1533-position model. The record is from RNAcentral.
AUUGAACGCUGGCGGCAUGCCUUACACAUGCAAGUCGAACGGCAGCACGGGUGCUUGCACCUGGUGGCGAGUGGCAAACGGGUGAGUAAUACAUCGGAACGUACCUUAUCGUGGGGGAUAACGCAGCGAAAGCUGUGCUAAUACCGCAUACGCUCUGAGGGGGAAAGCGGGGGAUCGCAAGACCUCGCGCGAUUAGAGCGGCCGAUGCCUGAUUAGCUUGUUGGUGGGGUAAAAGCCCACCAAGGCGACGAUCAGUAGCUGGUCUGAGAGGACGAUCAGCCACACUGGGACUGAGACACGGCCCAGACUCCUACGGGAGGCAGCAGUGGGGAAUUUUGGACAAUGGGGGCAACCCUGAUCCAGCAAUGCCGCGUGAGUGAAGAAGGCCUUCGGGUUGUAAAGCUCUUUUGUCAGGGAAGAAACACCGGCUCUAACACAGUCCGGGAAUGACGGUACCUGAAGAAUAAGCACCGGCUAACUACGUGCCAGCCGCCGCCGUAA